GGGAAGACGCGGCGCAUGAUAGCCCCCUUCACCGGUGGCUGCGGCUGCGGCUGCGGCGCUUUCGGCGGCACAGCGGCCGGGUCGGGCUUGCCGGGAGUGGCCAUCGCAACGAGGUCACGGGAAUAUCGCGGUGUCCGGGGCGACGGCAAGGGUGUUGGCGGCGGUGAGACCGAGACGACUGCGUGAAGGCUUUUUACCCUUCUCUCAUUCGCAUGGCUUUAACGCUCGCCGCUCAUCUUCUCUCUCUUUUUUCUUUUUUCUUUUUGAGAAUUCGCUC
This 277-nucleotide ribosomal RNA is filed under the name Triticum aestivum (bread wheat). RNAcentral describes it as "partial small subunit ribosomal RNA". Lineage: Eukaryota; Viridiplantae; Streptophyta; Magnoliopsida; Poales; Poaceae. The record is from RNAcentral.